AUGGCUGUCGUCAGCUCGUGUCGUGAGAUGUUGGGUUAAGUCCCGCAACGAGCGCAACCCCCGUCGCAUGUUGCCAGCAUUCAGUUGGGGACUCAUGCGAGACUGCCGGUGACAAACCGGAGGAAGGUGGGGAUGACGUCAAGUCCUCAUGCCCCUUAUGUCCAGGGCUACACACGUGCUACAUUGGCGCAUACAGAGGGCUGCGAUACCGCGAGGUGGAGCGAAUCCCUUAAAGUGCGUCUCGGUUCGGAUUGCAGGCUGAAAUUCGCCUGCAUGAAGGCGGAGUUGCUAGUAAUCGCGGAUCAGCAUUGCCGCGGUGAAUACGUUCCCGGGCCUUGUACACACCGCCCGUCACACCACGGGAGUGAGCAACACCCGAAGCCGGUGGCCUAACCCGCAAGGGAGGGAGCCGUCGAAGGUGGGGCUCGUGACUGGGGUGAAGUCGUAACAAGGUAGCCGUAGCGGAAGCUGCGGCUGGAUCACCUCCUUUCUAGGGAGCACAUAACAGUGCCCCGAUCGCAGCGACCGUCCGGCCUCGAGCUCUUCGGAGCACGAAGGAUCUGACGGCAUUCGAGCGGUCGGGCCUAGCAUGUCGACCGAACCUGGCUGGAUGGCCGUACGCCGCGCGUCUCCCUUACUACUUGGGGAGCACAAGCGGCCUCGGCCGCAAAACGACCCCAGCAUGCUGUUGAGUUUUGAGAGACCGGCGCCCGCCGGCGGUAGACGCAGACGCGAUCAAGAGAUCGUGCCCGCAGAUGUCGAUCGCAGGCCGGCGUUAUACGCCUCUCCACGGUCCUUGAAAACUGCACAGAAGCCACAAUUCAGCCGCCAUCGAUAAGCGGCGGCUGAAAACGGGUAUCACCGGGCCCUGCAAGGUCAACUACGUGAGCCGUGCUUCGUAAGAGGUGCAGCAAGCGUUUGCGAUCAUGUUGGGCCAGAUCACCGUCAAGAUAGUAAGGGCGCAUGGUGGAUGCCUUGGCACCAAGAGUCGAUGAAGGGCGUGAACGGCUGCGAUAAGCCACGGUUAGGCGCUGAAUAGCCUUUGACCCGCGGAUUCCCGAAUGGGGAAACCCGG
RNAcentral lists this small RNA (1075 nucleotides) under uncultured Solirubrobacterales bacterium. RNAcentral describes it as "bacterial SSU rRNA". The stretch from base 1 to 490 matches the Rfam family "Bacterial small subunit ribosomal RNA", at positions 1045 to 1533 of the family's 1533-position model. The record is from RNAcentral. Lineage: Bacteria; Bacillati; Actinomycetota; Thermoleophilia; Solirubrobacterales.